CGCGAUGACGCUGGCGGCAUGCCUUACACAUGCAAGUCGAACGGCAGCACGGGGGCAACCCUGGUGGCGAGUGGCGAACGGGUGAGUAAUACAUCGGAACGUGUCCUGUAGUGGGGGAUAGCCCGGCGAAAGCCGGAUUAAUACCGCAUACGCUCUACGGAGGAAAGGGGGGGAUCUUAGGACCUCCCGCUACAGGGGCGGCCGAUGGCAGAUUAGCUAGUUGGUGGGGUAAAGGCCUACCAAGGCGACGAUCUGUAGCUGGUCUGAGAGGACGACCAGCCACACUGGGACUGAGACACGGCCCAGACUCCUACGGGAGGCAGCAGUGGGGAAUUUUGGACAAUGGGGGAAACCCUGAUCCAGCAAUGCCGCGUGUGUGAAGAAGGCCUUCGGGUUGUAAAGCACUUUUGUCCGGAAAGAAAACCUCUGGGUUAAUACCCCGGGGGGAUGACGGUACCGGAAGAAUAAGCACCGGCUAACUACGUGCCAGCAGCCGCGGUAAUACGUAGGGUGCAAGCGUUAAUCGGAAUUACUGGGCGUAAAGCGUGCGCAGGCGGUCCGCUAAGACAGAUGUGAAAUCCCCGGGCUUAACCUGGGAACUGCAUUUGUGACUGGCGGGCUAGAGUAUGGCAGAGGGGGGUAGAAUUCCACGUGUAGCAGUGAAAUGCGUAGAGAUGUGGAGGAAUACCGAUGGCGAAGGCAGCCCCCUGGGCCAAUACUGACGCUCAUGCACGAAAGCGUGGGGAGCAAACAGGAUUAGAUACCCUGGUAGUCCACGCCCUAAACGAUGUCAACUAGUUGUCGGGUCUUCAUUGACUUGGUAACGUAGCUAACGCGUGAAGUGACCGUCCU
RNAcentral lists this ribosomal RNA (852 nucleotides) under Paraburkholderia sp. Its description in RNAcentral is "bacterial SSU rRNA". It matches the Rfam family "Bacterial small subunit ribosomal RNA", at positions 24 to 873 of the family's 1533-position model. Lineage: Bacteria; Pseudomonadati; Pseudomonadota; Betaproteobacteria; Burkholderiales; Burkholderiaceae. The record is from RNAcentral.